GUUUUUUUGGGGAGUGUGAUUCUGUGUACAGUGUCCAUGUAUGUCUAUCCCUACGUUGGGUGAGUGCUGAGUAUUUGUAUAUGUGUGCAUGAGGGUGGGAAUGCAUGUUUGUGUCUGUGUGUGCCUGUUUGUCUGUGUUUAUAUGUCAGGUCGGGUCUUACACUCCACCUCUCUGGGAACUCCCAGGCCCUCCAAGGCCUAUCUCCCCUCACCACACUCCCUGCCGGUAACUGAUGCCCUCAGGGGUCGGUGCGUUGGUGGUUCCUUGUGUCCGGGGCUGGGCGCUCAGGUAUGUACCAGCUCACUCCCGGUGACUACUUGGCGGGGCCUGGUGCCUGUUGCUCGGUCAGGCCUCUUCCAGGGCAAAGGGGGCCCUCGGGCCUCCGGCCUCUGGGCCUGCGGCUCGGUUCACUCUGGCACAGCUGGCUACUGGCAGAGCCGGCGGGCACGCCACUGCAGCCCCCUCUGGCUUCUGUUCCGUGGCUACUGGGUGACCCCUCAUCUGGGGCUCUCCUCAGCUCUUCCCAGGAGGGUGGCACGGAUGCCCCUCCGGUGGUCCUCCUUGGGCUCUCGCACUCUGGGGCCUCUGGAUGUCUGGAGGCUGGAUCUCCUCCAUGCCUGCUUCAUGCCCUGGGGACGGGGCUAUGGCUCUCUACAUCCUCAAGCAGACCAUUGCAUGGGGAAACCUUUUGAAUACAAGCGCGCUGAUCCACACAGGUGUGCACACGGGUGUUCACUGUUCAUAGACAUAAACUACACCUUUAUUGGCUGCUAUUUCCAAUCACAUUAUGCGCUGUCGGUCCUGCUUGCUACACAACAACAUUCAAUAUUUAGUAUUUACUGCUGUUUACACUUAGCUAGAUUAACGUGAUGGUGUUGUGUUUAGUAUGUUGCUCUGUUUUUUUUGCUUGUUUUCUUUUCUUUUUCUCUCAACAGGUGAUCCAGGAGUUUUUUUUUCUCUUUCUCUUUUUAAGUGCCCUUUCUCACUGUCCCUCUUCCCUUCAUCUUUCUUUCUCCCUUUCCUAUCCCUCAGUCAUGUCUGUCCCGUCUGUAACAACUGAAAAUAAAAUAAAAUAAACAAUAACAACAAAGGUUGAUCAAAUGGACCAAUAUGGCAAGGCCGUGAUGAUCCAUUUGGCAAAGUAAAUCCAUUGGGUCUCCUUGUUGGUCUUCAGACAACAAUUCUGACGGCUAAAGAACCAAAUGGGACAGGCAAAAAAGCCCAUCUCACUCCCACCUUCAUACACACAUGCAUGUGUAAUUGUCAUUUUACGCCUUGCAAGUCAGUUCUGAUAUUCAAACAACACUUUCUUGUGCUUUUUAUAGAUGUGGUAAUAGAGAAAUUACAGGAAAUUAGGAAGCAAAAAGGGAAACAUUUAGGCUACGUCCACACAUACACGGGUAUUUUUGAAAACAGAGAUUUUUUUUUUUUUUUUUUAAAUUCCCAUCCACACGUAAACGCAAAAACGAAGGAAAAUGCUGCUAGGAACAUGCCAAAGCAACAGGUGGCGAUAUAUUCCUAACCGUGUAGAAAUGUUGGCCAAUCAGAAGUCUAGAAGCCUGGGUGGGAAAGAGUAAACAAAGAUGGCGCAUAGAAGCAGAACUGAGUCCUAUGUGUGGAGGGACAGAAACUGUGUGUCUAUAUGUAAGCAUGUAAACACAGCAGAGAGUAAAAUGAACAGUAACAGAAUUCUGUCUAAGUCCGCCAUUGUAGAAAUCCAUUUCACCGAAACAAUAACGUCCACACGUAAAUGCAAAAACGGAGUUUGCGAAAAUCUCCACCCUGGCAGGGGUUCUUAAAAAUCUGUUUUUAGUGACCGAAAACGACUUUUACGUGUGAACAAAAGGUGCAAACGCAUAGAAAAAUAUGCGUUUUCAAAAAUACCCAGGUACGUGUGGACGUAGCCUUAAAGUUUUGAUUUCAGCCAAGGGCAGGCCAGCACUGACAUUAUGAGAAUUUUAACUCCUCAAUACAUGAUUUACCAAAUAAAAAAUAAGCCAUUUUACAGGACAUAAACAGGAAGCAAUCUGUGAGUAUUUUUGUAACAGAAAUGGGAUCACGAGCAGCUGCACACUAGUGAGAGAGGUUGAUCUAACCUUGUGUCCCGUAAUAAGACAAAAACAAGAAAGCAACCACGCUUUCAGACUAAAUCCUCCCAGCAUUUUUUGAACAAUACGGGAGCAGACGAAAAACUGUGAAUGCAUGCUCAGAGAAUUGGAUUGCAUUCCCAAAAUCCCUUUGAGCCUCUUCGCUUGCCCAUACACACAGUUUUAAAAGAAAACAGAAUAAAGCCCAGGGCAUUACAGAGAAAUACUUCUGUAUUGACAGCAAGUGGAGAUAAAAGAGGCAAGCGAGAGGAAAAAAAACAAAAAGUAAAAAAAACAAGGUAUUCUGCCUGUCAUUUCGCUUAACUGUUCAACUCAGAAGCCACUGAUCUCAGGGACACAUGGUGCUCUGGCCAAAGUGUCAAUACUGAGUAUGCUUAUAGUUCAUAGACACUGUGGUUCAGAAGUAGCAAGAGUCGCUUUAGCUGACAUUGAGCAACAGAUGUGUAUGGGAGUUUUAAAGACUCCAAUGCACCUUUUGUUUUUCAAUGAAAUUCACAGAAGACAACCUUUGCUGAAAUACUGAUGUGGAGAAAUUUAAGCAUUAGCAAGUG
This is a long non-coding RNA of Astatotilapia calliptera (eastern happy), 2660 nucleotides long. Lineage: Eukaryota; Metazoa; Chordata; Actinopteri; Cichliformes; Cichlidae. The record is from Ensembl.